GGAAGGAUCAUUAACACGUAUCCACGUAUCCACCCUUGUGAAUUUGUUUUCAACCUUUCACACUUUAUCGUAAUUGUAUAGUUGGACGAUGUAACAGUUGUCUUUCGAUAUUGAUUCGAUCAAUGUGAAAAUUUUAUACUCACCUAUUUCACCCCCUUUUUUGCUAGUUGACUUUUUAUAUGUUGUGAAUUUGGUAAAACAAAUUCUCACACGUUUAAUUACUUGAACGUUAAAAAUACAACUCUUAGCAAUGGAUAUCUAGGUUCUCGCAACGAUGAAGAACGCAGCGAAAUGCGAUACGUAAUGCGAAUUGCAGAAUUCAGUGAAUCAUCAAAUCUUUGAACGCAAAUUGCGCUCUUGGGUAGCCCUAGGAGCACGCCUCUCUCAGUAUCGGUUCAACCUCACCUCAGCAGCGUACAGCUUUCGAGUCGUACGUGUUGGCUGGAGAAUGAGAGUCUGAGUGUGAUCACUUAGUCUCUUCAAAUAUAUGGAAUGAUCAACUGAUGACGAACUAAGCCAUUCGUUCCUCUGGAACGAUAGUCGGUCUCUGACUGUUUGCUUUAGUAAGUGACGUGAAUAUUGACCCUGUGGUCUCCUCUUUACGUGUAACUUAUGCGAGUAAACAUUAUAAGGUCUAGGAUAGAUGAGUUAGCUUAAAGUAGUGGACAGCAAUCAUGAAAACGUGGUGUCAAUUCGUUUGCACUACAAUCGAUUAAUCGCAACAACUUUUGUUGUUGUCUAAUCUGAAUUUUGAUCUGAGAUGAAGCGAGACAACCCCCUGAAUUUAAGCAUAUUAAUAAGGGGAGGAAAAGAAACUAACAAGGAUUCCCUUAGUAACGGCGAGUGAAGCGGGAAGAGCUCAAUUUGAAAAUCGAUUACCUAAACGGGUCAUCGAGUUGUAGCCUAUAGACGUACUAUCAGCUGGAACCUGGGUAUAAGUUCUUUGGAAUGAGGCAUCAUAGAGGGUGAGAAUCCCGUAUAUGACCCAAAGCUUCUAGCGUACGAUGUAUGUUCUUCGAGUCGAGUUGUUUGGGAUUGCAGCUCUAAAUGGGUGGUAAGUUUCAUCUAAAGCUAAAUAAUGGCGAGAGACCGAUAGCGAACAAGUACCGUGAGGGAAAGAUGAAAAGAACUUUGAAAAGAGAGUUAAAAGUACUUGAAAUUGCUAAGAGGGAAGCGCUGACAACCAGUGAUAAUGCGUCAUUCAUCGCUAUCAGCCCCACUGGAUCGUGUAGAUAGUUGGAAACUCUAUUUGCGCGAUCGAAAGGGAGGUUGGUGGUUUAGGAUGGCGUGUGAGUCAAGAUCAAUUCGAACGGUGGGAGAAGGUAGGGAGACAGGUAGGAGAUCCGUCUCUGUUAUAGUCUUUCUACUCUACCUCGGUUUGGAUUGAGGAAGGAAUAGUGCGCUGCUUGCGGCUUAGUCCUAUGCUUCUACUGUAUUAUCUGCUCUGAUCGCAAUGCUAUCUCUGUGGAAAAAUGCAGUACUGAGUAUGGUGUACUCUAUGUGCUAUCACGAUCUUGUACGAAAUGGUUGUCAUCGACCCGUCUUGAAACACGGACCAAGGAGUCUAACAUCUAUGCGAGUAUUUGGGUGAAAAACCCUGAUGCGCAAUGAAAGUAAAGGUAGCCUUGUGCUGCUGAGGUAGGAAUCCGGUUAAACGGAGGCACUAUCGACCGAUCAUCACUUGUGAAAGAUUUGAGUAAGAGCAUAUCUGUUGGGACCCGAAAGAUGGUGAUCUAUGCCUGAACAGGGUGAAGCCAGGGGAAACUCUGGUGGAGGCUCGUAGCGAUACUGACGUGCAAAUCGUUCGUCUGAUUUGGGUAUAGGGGCGAAAGACUAAUCGAACCAUCUAGUAGCUGGUUCCCUC
This 1864-nucleotide unclassified non-coding RNA is filed under the name uncultured fungus. Its description in RNAcentral is "sequence contains 18S rRNA gene, ITS1, 5.8S rRNA gene, ITS2, 28S rRNA gene". The stretch from base 752 to 1864 matches the Rfam family "Eukaryotic large subunit ribosomal RNA", at positions 1 to 961 of the family's 3401-position model. The record is from RNAcentral. Lineage: Eukaryota; Fungi.